This is a non-coding RNA of Arachis ipaensis, 737 nucleotides long. The record is from RefSeq and is a predicted model, not a curated record. NCBI's taxonomy places the organism in Eukaryota, Viridiplantae, Streptophyta, Magnoliopsida, Fabales, Fabaceae.
GAGGCCAACAAGCGUAAUAACAACUGGUUACCUCCUCCAUGGGCAAUACUUGCUUUGAUUAUUCUAUUGAACUCAUCUAUGACACUCUUAAGGUGCACAUCAAUUGAACUCAUCUAAUGUGUACUUUAUUUUUUUUUUCCAUUUCGUUCAACAAUAAAGGCUAUGUUUUUACUCACUCUUAACAACACACCUCUACCUGCAGCAGCUUCAGUGUAAAGAAUGUAUUUUAUUGUACAUAAAUUAUUGGAUGGGAAGUUUAAUAAUAAAGAAACCACCUUGUUUCCAUCCGACUGUUCUUUUAAAUUGUUCUUACUCAAUUUUGGUAUUUUCUAUGGCAGAAAUCCAUUGUAUUUGCUUGUCAUCUUUAUUGGUUAUCUUCUCAUCAAAGUCCUAUGAGUGCAACUGGACAUUAUGGGUGAAUUUCGCCAUGGAGCUGAGACUGCCGGGACUCUUAUCCUUGUCUACCAAAUUCGUUCCAACUGCCAUGAACCUUAUGAAAAAACUAGCAGACGAGGGUGCAGAUAACAAUAAUCGCAAAAAUCCAUCAAAAGGCGACUGAGUUAAUAUGUUCAAUUGCAUAAGAAGGCAGUGAUGGAUUUUUUGCAGGUUCCUGGUCUCUGCGUGCUGCAAGAAGUUGGGGAGACCGAGUUAGUGCUUCAGAUUGUCAAUUACUCAUGUUUUAUGUACUUUGUAUCACUUUUCCUUUUCUUUUUUAUAUAGAAUAUUCAUAGAGUUUA